This 827-nucleotide ribosomal RNA is filed under the name uncultured Staphylococcus sp. Its description in RNAcentral is "bacterial SSU rRNA". It matches the Rfam family "Bacterial small subunit ribosomal RNA", at positions 84 to 893 of the family's 1533-position model. The record is from RNAcentral. Lineage: Bacteria; Bacillati; Bacillota; Bacilli; Caryophanales; Staphylococcaceae.
CUGAAUGUUAACCGCCGGACCGGGUGGAAGUAACACCGGGGAUACCUACCUAUAGACCUGGGAUAACUUCGGGAAACCCGGGCUAAUACCGGAUGAUACCUUUGAACCGCAUGGUUCAAAAGUGAAAGACGGUCUUGCUGUCACUUAUAGAUGGAUCCGCGCUGCAUUAGCUAGUNUGGUAAGGUAACGGCUUACCAAGGCAACGAUGCAUAGCCGACCUGAGAGGGUGAUCGGCCACACUGGAACUGAGACACGGUCCAGACUCCUACGGGAGGCAGCAGUAGGGAAUCUUCCGCAAUGGGCGAAAGCCUGACGGAGCAACGCCGCGUGAGUGAUGAAGGUCUUCGGAUCGUAAAACUCUGUUAUUAGGGAAGAACAUAUGUGUAAGUAACUGUGCACAUCUUGACGGUACCUAAUCAGAAAGCCACGGCUAACUACGUGCCAGCAGCCGCGGUAAUACGUAGGUGGCAAGCGUUAUCCGGAAUUAUUGGGCGUAAAGCGCGCGUAGGCGGUUUUUUAAGUCUGAUGUGAAAGCCCACGGCUCAACCGCGGAGGGUCAUUGGAAACUGGAAAACUUGAGUGCAGAAGAGGAAAGUGGAAUUCCAUGUGUAGCGGUGAAAUGCGCAGAGAUAUGGAGGAACACCAGUGGCGAAGGCGACUUUCUGGUCUGUAACUGACGCUGAUGUGCGAAAGCGUGGGGAUCAAACAGGAUUAGAUACCCUGGUAGUCCACGCCGUAAACGAUGAGUGCUAAGUGUUAGGGGGUUUCCGCCCCUUAGUGCUGCAGCUACGCAUUAAGCACUCCGCCUGGGGGGUACGACCGCAAGU